AGGAUCAUUAAUCCAUCUAACAGCGUGGCUGCGGCCUCCGGGGUCAAACCUGGGCGGUUCGCGCUACCUGGUCUACAUCCUUUUUUUACGAGCACCUUUCGUUCUCCUUCGGCGGCUUACCCCGCCGUUGGAAUCAAACAAAACCUUUUUUGCAUCUAGCAUUACCUGUUCUGAUACAAACAAUCGUUACAACUUUCAACAAUGGAUCUCUUGGCUCUGGCAUCGAUGAAGAACGCAGCGAAAUGCGAUAAGUAGUGUGAAUUGCAGAAUUCAGUGAAUCAUCGAAUCUUUGAACGCACAUUGCGCCCCUUGGUAUUCCAUGGGGCAUGCCUGUUCGAGCGUCAUCUACACCCUCAAGCUCUGCUUGGUGUUGGGCGUCUGUCCCGCCUCUGCGCGUGGACUCGCCCCAAAUUCAUUGGCAGCGGUCUUGCCUCCUCUCGCGCAGCACAAUUGCGUUUCUUGAGGUGGGUGGCCCGCGUCCACGAAGCAACAUAACCGUCUUUGACCUCGGAUCAGGUAGGGAUACCCGCUGAACUUAA
RNAcentral lists this ribosomal RNA (539 nucleotides) under uncultured fungus. RNAcentral describes it as "eukaryotic LSU rRNA". The stretch from base 191 to 344 matches the Rfam family "5.8S ribosomal RNA". Lineage: Eukaryota; Fungi. The record is from RNAcentral.